This 253-nucleotide ribosomal RNA is filed under the name uncultured bacterium. RNAcentral describes it as "partial 16S ribosomal RNA". It matches the Rfam family "Bacterial small subunit ribosomal RNA", at positions 524 to 776 of the family's 1533-position model. The record is from RNAcentral.
UACGUAGGGUGCAAGCGUUAUCCGGAUUCACUGGGUUUAAAGGGUGCGUAGGUGGUUGUGCAAGUCUGAUGUGAAAUCUCCGGGCUUAACCCGGAAAUGGCAUUGGAAACUGCAUGGCUAGAGUGUUGGAGGGGGGACUGGAAUUCUCGGUGUAGCAGUGAAAUGCGUAGAUAUCGAGAGGAACACCAGUGGCGAAGGCGAGUCCCUGGACAACGACUGACACUGAGGCACGAAAGCUAGGGGAGCAAACAGG